Eupeodes corollae is the source of this 1539-nucleotide long non-coding RNA. RefSeq lists it as uncharacterized. The transcript has 4 exons. Lineage: Eukaryota; Metazoa; Arthropoda; Insecta; Diptera; Syrphidae. The record is from RefSeq and is a predicted model, not a curated record.
UUACAGGAACUUACAAAUAUUGCGUAGGAUUCACUUGGCUGCAUAGAAUCUAUGAAAGUCCAGAAAAUCUCCUGACACCCCAUCAUCGGUCACAUUCUGGUAGCUCUGAUGGAUGGACGACCAUAAAAACAUAGGGUGCGGAACGUGCCUUGCUGUGUGUUCGAAGACGGAAGACCUAAAGACGAUGCUGACGAUAGCGAUGUUCUAAAUGUUCUUAUAUUCCAUGCUAUGCUCUAUGAUCCUUUUUAUUAAACGACGACGAGCAUUAUCCUGCAAUAUUACCUGCAGCAAGAUUUAUAUGAAAGGAUAUAUUUUCUGCUUUUUAUUUCUUUGGAUGUUCAUACAUACAUACAUACGAAAUGAAUUCGCAAUGCAUGCUGGUUCGGAUUUUGAAUUUUUCAAAUUGAUUUCCAAAGGGACAACAUGCAGUAUAAGUUUUAUGUGUGUGAUUUUACCCAGGAACGGGUCCAAAAAGAGGGGUCUUACGAACGAUUUUUGUGUUUCAUAUUUUACACAUAAUUCAUAAUAUUUUCAUAUGAUUUUUUAAGCUUGGGAAAGUUUUAUAAGGUGUGAAGGACCUAAAAUAAUUGUAUUGAAGAUCUGGGAAUACACUUUUUGGAACGUAUUCACUAAUAUUCUAGGGACUAUUCACAUAAGAGCGACCAACGACAUCUAUUAUGACAUUUCUUUCACAUGGCUUUUCUUUCGUCGUCAUAACAAAAUCACAACAAAGACUAGAAUACAAAUUUUAGGUCAACACGAGCGUAAACAUUUCAUUCGUUGAAGUGUGGAUCGUAUGUGGAACCCGAAUUAAGCUUGACAAUUCGUUAAGGUGUGUCCGCACUAAAGAAAAUUUUUAGUAAAUAUUGUAAAAAAAAAACGUUUAUGACGAAUGGGAAAGCCCAUUUGUUUAAAAAUCAUUAAACGAGUGUAAGGAAGGCAAUAUGCGUUAACAAAGAGACAGUUUUUAACUGAAAAUAUAUUGCAAUGAGUUUAAUUUAAAUUAAAAAAUUAACUAAGCUGACAGUGUCACUACAUCAGCCCUAGUUAUUCUGGUUUUUUGAACAGUAAAAUUGUCUCUAAGACUGUGAAGUAAAUACUACAGAAAUUCAAUACCAUUUGAAAUCUAAGAUUACGAAAAUAUUAAGUAUUCUCCUUGAUUGCAGAAAUAUAAGAAACUAUGAUGUUUUAAUCAGCAUUAUGAAUUGAAAGGUGUAAGAAAUGAGUAGUUUUUCUAAUAACUUGAUGUCAAAAGAGCCAAACAGUUUUUAUUACUUUUAUGUUUCCUCUCUGUGCAGCUCAUAAGGCCAAACAAAAUAGCCUCAUAUUACCGAUUCCGUCAUGAACAAAGAAGUUACACCAGAAAAUUAGUGUAUUUUUUACUUCUUGUUUUCAGCGUUUUUUUUUUUAUUUUUUGUUUUACUUUUUGGAUACAAGUUUUUGAACAAAAGGAAAAACAUCGACAGAGAUUGAUGUAGUUUACCUUGAAAGUUUAUUAGUUAAACUUAAAUCUCCUCAAGUGCAAGAUUAAAUGUCAAA